This 253-nucleotide ribosomal RNA is filed under the name uncultured bacterium. RNAcentral describes it as "partial 16S ribosomal RNA". It matches the Rfam family "Bacterial small subunit ribosomal RNA", at positions 524 to 776 of the family's 1533-position model. The record is from RNAcentral.
UACGAGUGGUGCAAGCGUUAUUCGGAAUUAUUGGGCGUACAGGGUGCGCAGGCGGUGUAUUAAGUCAACUGUUAAAGGCCUUAGCUUAACUAAGGGAUUGCGGUAGAUACUGAUACGCUAGAGGAUGGAAGAGAGAAGUGGAAUUCUUGGAGUAGCGGUAAAAUGCGUAGAUCUCAAGAGGAACACCGAUGGCGAAGGCAGCUCACUGGGACGGUACUGACGCUGAGACGCGAAAGCGUGGGGAGCAAACAGG